CUUCAGGGACCCAAGCCACAACGGCACGUCACGAUCCUGGCCGUACGUCGCCAGCAAUGCCUGCGCCUC
Molecule: antisense RNA, 69 nt
Filed under: Actinokineospora cianjurensis
Lineage: Bacteria; Bacillati; Actinomycetota; Actinomycetes; Pseudonocardiales; Pseudonocardiaceae
Description: ASpks TB sRNA
Rfam family: ASpks TB sRNA
Source: RNAcentral